AACGUCUUCAUUUGCAGGGCAUGUGCUUGCUCACAGCGUCCAUGGACAUGAAUUUAAGCAGAAGUUCCCGUACUCUCACCAGGAGGCCAGAAAAUACAGUAAGCUGACCCAUUGUCAUUGAAUAAUGGCUGACUGAAGUGAAGACGCUUGCAAUACAAGGAAGUCAACCUUUUUCAACGUACUGACAAAGAGUCAAGCUGCAACUGAGAAUUUCCCCUUCUGCACCAUUGACCCAAAUGAAAGCCGAGUGCCCAUUCCAGAUGAACGCUAUGAUUUCCUGUGCCAAUUCCACAAGCCUGUCAGCAAGGUGACCGGCCUUCCUGAACGUGGUGGACAUAGCAGGACUGGUGAAGGGAGCUCACGCUGGCCAGGGCCUGGGCAAUGCCUUCCUGUCCCACAUCAGUUCCGGCGAUGGCAUCUUCCACACGACAUGUGCGUUUGCAGAUGAGGACAUUGUCCACGUGGAGGGGAACGUGGACCCAGUGAGGGACAUUGAGAUCAUCCAUGAGGAGCUGAGGCUGAAGGAUGAGGAGAUGAUCAGGCCCAUUAUGGAGAAGCUGGAAAAGGUGGCCGCGAGGGGAUGCGACAAGAAACUCCAUCCUGAAUAUGACGUAACGCUCAAAAUCAAGAACUGGGUAGCGGAUGAAAAGAAACGUGUUCGCUACUGUCGUGGUUGGACUGAGAAAGAGAUCGAAGUGUUGAACAAAUACUUGUUUUUGACAUCCCAAGCCAAUGGUUUACCUCAUUAACCUCUCAGAGAAAGACUACUUCAGAAGAAAGAA
Molecule: long non-coding RNA, 782 nt
Organism: Oncorhynchus kisutch (coho salmon)
Lineage: Eukaryota; Metazoa; Chordata; Actinopteri; Salmoniformes; Salmonidae
Exons: 6
Source: RefSeq, a predicted model, not a curated record